This is a long non-coding RNA of Ahaetulla prasina, 1088 nucleotides long. RefSeq lists it as uncharacterized. The record is from RefSeq and is a predicted model, not a curated record. Lineage: Eukaryota; Metazoa; Chordata; Lepidosauria; Squamata; Colubridae. The transcript is spliced from 3 exons.
UAACUCCCCCCCCCAAUAAAUCUUAUGUACAGAGGGUUAACAUCACUGCCUAGAGGAUCAUUGGUUGCCCUCUCUUUGGAAGAGCUUUAUAGCUCCCGCUGCCUUACAGGAUAAUAAAAAUAAGGAAAAAGGCUGAAAAACGGCUUCUAUCCCGGGGCAGUGAGUGCAGGCCUCUGAUCAAAAGGUGCAUAGCACUUGGAAGAACUACAAUGUCUGGCAUGAAUAACAUCCAGAAGAGUAAAGACAUCAGUCUCACAAACAAACAAAUGCAGAUUAGUUAAUACAAUCAUUUUUACAGUUGCUACUUAUUGCUGCAAAAUGUGGACUCUGAAAAAGGCAUAUAGGAGAAGGGUGGACACCUUUAAACUGGUGCUGGAGGUGACUAUUGAACAUCCCAUGGGCUGCAAAAAUAACAAAUCCUAGAACAAACAUCACCCAAAAAAUCACUUGAAGCCAAGAUCACUGAACAUAGGCUGUCAGGAUUUGGUCAUGACAUGCGAACUGACUCACUCGAAAAGUCAAUUGUGCUGGAAUUGAUCAGUGGAAAAAGGAGAAAGGGCCGCCCUAGUACCUGCUGGUUGGAUACUAUAAGAAUGACACUAGAAUGACCAUGGUGGAUCUGAAGGAAAUGGUGCAAGGCAGAGGAACAUGGAGAAUGCUGAUCCAUAGAGUGACCAAGGUUCAGACACGAUUGAAUGGCUUACAACAACAAGAAUACUACAUUGGGACCUAAUGAGCUCAUCCAAUAUCUUGAAUGAACCUCUCUCUGCACUGCGUCUGAGAACCAUAUUUCAUCUUGGUUUCAGAGUGUUCAUAAUAUAGGAGCCACUGAAUCCCUGGCUUUACAGUUCAUACUGAUUCUUGGAAACAAGUGAAGGAGAAUGUGACUACAGGAUAUAGUCCCUGACAAUCGUAACUUUUAUUUAUGUUUUUUUUAAAGCAAUGUCAUAACUUUUAAGGAUGCAAAAACAGAGCUGAAUAUAACUGCAGGACAAAUGAAAUCCCAGUAAUCCACCGAGAUGUGCCUCAAUACCCUUUGCCCUUCCCUGUAAUCAGUGAAAGAAAUUGUGCAAAAUAAACUCUGCUAU